ACAUAUUUGGGUGUUGUAUCGUUUCCACCAUCCCUAAUUUUAAAUCAACCACCUUGAGAGGUGAUGAAGAUUAAUCUUUUUAGCAUAUGUUUUCUCAACACCUCUUCUAUGCAAAAAAAAAAAAAACCUUCUAUGUCUUUGUUGCGGUAUCGACAGUUUCGAAGAAGACGGAGGAGGGGUCGGUUGUUUCGAUGCAAACGACGGUUGCAAGAGUGAGAUUUAAACGCAUAUGAGUCAAUUGGGAGACUACAAGGUAAACUUGAUACUGAUUUUUAAUUGCUAUUUGUGAACCAGAACGAUUUCAGUGGUUGUUGCUUGAAAUUGUAAAACAAAACGAUUUUUUUAUUUGAAAUGCGUCUUAAAAAUGGUAAUUAUUGCUUGUUGUCAAUGGAUGCAAGUGAUUUUGUGUUGAAGAGAGAAAAUAUAUGACGCCCUAAAAUAAGUUGAACAGAAAACCAAUAUGAUAUCAUUAUAUGAAAUUGGUAAAAAUCCAAAGCAAAAUUGUGAAUUUGGAGAGGUUUAUAAUCCAAUGGGAACUUUGGAAGCUUCUGCAACCAAUCAGAACUCCAUCACAGUGCGGAGGUUUCUGUUGGUGGCCAACUCGAGGAUUCGUACUUUUCGACUCGGCACAAACAUGGAUACUGGUGAAACUGUUGAAUAAGUAGUGGAGCAUAUAGUUGGUGUUCAUAGCUGUAGAUUUAGUCAAGUUUACUGUUUUUAUUUUGCUGAGUCACUAGUCCUAAUUGUUAGGAGAUGGUAGCUGUUGUUUUUCACCGGUUAAUGAGUUCCUUUAUUUUAGCCACUUCCACAUUGCUAGGCUUGUAAAAUGUGGUUGCAGUUUGUUGGUGUAUUUGGUUCGAGGUAAAUGGAGGGAGGGGAGGUAAGGGAUGAUUUUUAAUUUUUUAUGUUUGGUUCAAUUUUUAGGAGGGGAUGAGAGAGAAGGUGAGUAAAAUUCCUCCUAGAUCCAUUUUUUGCUCCCCCAAAUUAGAAGGAUUUGGGGGAGGAGAGGUAAGCUAUUUAAUACUCAAGCAUAUUAAGAAAAAUUUGUAGUGUAAUAAAUGUGUUUUUUUUUUGUGUUAUAAUUAUUAAAUUGUCCUCGGUGAAAAGAUGUAUUUGUAAUUGAUUUUUCGGAUUUCAAUGUAAAGUAUGAUUAUAUUUGGAAAAGUAAUAAUAAAUAUG
RNAcentral lists this long non-coding RNA (1179 nucleotides) under Trifolium pratense (red clover). Its description in RNAcentral is "long non-coding RNA (TPRA_LNC007558)". Lineage: Eukaryota; Viridiplantae; Streptophyta; Magnoliopsida; Fabales; Fabaceae. The record is from RNAcentral.